Molecule: long non-coding RNA, 630 nt
Organism: Rhincodon typus (whale shark)
Lineage: Eukaryota; Metazoa; Chordata; Chondrichthyes; Orectolobiformes; Rhincodontidae
Exons: 2
Source: RefSeq, a predicted model, not a curated record
UACCCGGAGCCUUUGCACGGUUUGUCAGGGAACCAGUGGUGUUGAUAGUGCUCUGUGGGAAGCAAGGAAAUUGAAAAGAAAAAAAAAAAGCACCGUGUCAGAUGAAUCCAUAAAAGAAAUAAGAGCGAGAGAUGGAGGAGUGGGGAUGGUGGUGAAAGUAGGGUUCCCAAAAGUUUGAGCUCACAAUUCGUUGAAGCGCUCUCGGUAACAAAAAAACACAAAUGACAGACGGGGAGGCAAUGAUGUAAGAUCGACAAAAGGAGUUUACACCCGAGGGAUGAAGCAGCCGCGUGCGCUCGCGCAGCGGGACAAUGGAGCGGGGACGGUUGGAAAGCGGCGCGAGCUCCCGGGCCAACGUUCCAUUUUCUUUUCCCUCUCGAGGGGAGGGGAAUGAGGGGGGCGGGUGGUGCCGUCGCCACUUACCCGCCAGCAGGUCCUGUAGAGACUGACAGAAAGUCUGUAACUGCCGCUCGUCCACUGUCGCCUUUGUCCGAAGGAGCUUGCAAAUAAAUCCCACCGCCGCGCUGAUUUCUGGCUUCAUCUCGGCCCAGGUACCCAAAACGUACAUUGGAGGAAAUUUUUCCCCUCUCGGAAGUUUUUUUUCUAAUAAAUUUGCUCGACAAAAGAAAA